RNAcentral lists this ribosomal RNA (1274 nucleotides) under metagenome. RNAcentral describes it as "bacterial LSU rRNA". It matches the Rfam family "Bacterial large subunit ribosomal RNA", at positions 1675 to 2925 of the family's 2925-position model. The record is from RNAcentral.
CCGAUACCAAGGCGAUCGGGUGAACUGUGGUUAAGGAACUCGGCAAAUUGCCCCCGUAACUUCGGGAGAAGGGGGGCCUCCGCUGGUGAUCAGACUUGCUUUGUGAGCUGGUGGGGGUCGCAGAGGCCAGGGGGAAGCGACUGUUUACUAAAAACACAGGUCCGUGCGAAGUCGUAAGACGAUGUAUACGGACUGACGCCUGCCCGGUGCUGGAACGUUAAGGGGACCGGUUAGCGGGACGUAAGUCCUGCGAGGCUGAGAACUUAAGCGCCAGUAAACGGCGGUGGUAACUAUAACCAUCCUAAGGUAGCGAAAUUCCUUGUCGGGUAAGUUCCGACCUGCACGAAUGGCGUAACGACUUCCCCGCUGUCUCAACCGCAGACCCGGCGAAAUUGCACUACGAGUAAAGAUGCUCGUUACGCGCAGCAGGACGGAAAGACCCCGGGACCUUCACUACAGCUUGACAUUGGCGUUUGGAACGUCUUGUGUAGGAUAGGUGGGAGACCGUGAAGCUGUCACGCUAGUGGCGGUGGAGUCAUUGGUGAAAUACCACUCUGGUCGUUUUGAACGUCUAACUUCGGUCCGUGAUCCGGAUCAGGGACAGUGUCUGGUGGGUAGUUUAACUGGGGCGGUUGCCUCCUAAAGAGUAACGGAGGCGCCCAAAGGUUCCCUCAGCCUGGUUGGUAAUCAGGUGUCGAGUGUAAGUGCACAAGGGAGCUUGACUGUGAGACCGACGGGUCGAGCAGGAGCGAAAGCUGGGACUAGUGAUCCGGCGGUGGCAUGUGGAAGCGCCGUCGCUCAACGGCUAAAAGGUACCCCGGGGAUAACAGGCUGAUCUUCCCCAAGAGUCCAUAUCGACGGGAUGGUUUGGCACCUCGAUGUCGGCUCGUCGCAUCCUGGGGCUGGAGUAGGUCCCAAGGGUUGGGCUGUUCGCCCAUUAAAGCGGUACGCGAGCUGGUUUAGAACGUCGCGAGACAGUUCGGUCCCUAUCCGCUGCGCGCGCAGGAGACUUGAAAGGAGCUGUCCCUAGUACGAGAGGACCGGGACGGACGAACCUCUGGUGUGCCAGUUGUUCCGCCAGGAGCAUGGCUGGUUGGCUACGUUUGGAAGGGAUAACCGCUGAAAGCAUCUAAGCGGGAAGCUCGCCUUGAGAUGAGGUCUCCCACCACGAAAGUGGGUAAGGCCCCCGGGAGACGACCGGGUUGAUAGGCCGGAGGUGGAAGCAUGGUAACGUGUGGAGCUGACCGGUACUAAUAGGCCGAGGACUUGACCAC